UAGGGAAUCUUCGGCAAUGGGGGCAACCCUGACCGAGCAACGCCGCGUGAGUGAAGAAGGCUUUCGGAUCGUAAAGCUCUGUUGUAAGAGAAGAACGUGUGUGAGAGUGGAAAGUUCACACAGUGACGGUAACUUACCAGAAAGGGACGGCUAACUACGUGCCAGCAGCCGCGGUAAUACGUAGGUCCCGAGCGUUGUCCGGAUUUAUUGGGCGUAAAGCGAGCGCAGGCGGUUUAAUAAGUCUGAAGUUAAAGGCAGUGGCUUAACCAUUGUUCGCUUUGGAAACUGUUAAACUUGAGUGCAGAAGGGGUGAGUGGAAUUCCAUGUGUAGCGGUGAAAUGCGUAGAUAUAUGGAGGAACACCGGUGGCGAAAGCGGCUCUCUGGUCUGUAACUGACGCUGAGGCUCGAAAGCGUGGGGAGCAAACGGG
RNAcentral lists this ribosomal RNA (429 nucleotides) under bacterium. Its description in RNAcentral is "partial 16S ribosomal RNA". It matches the Rfam family "Bacterial small subunit ribosomal RNA", at positions 355 to 776 of the family's 1533-position model. The record is from RNAcentral.